RNAcentral lists this ribosomal RNA (254 nucleotides) under uncultured bacterium. Its description in RNAcentral is "partial 16S ribosomal RNA". It matches the Rfam family "Bacterial small subunit ribosomal RNA", at positions 524 to 776 of the family's 1533-position model. The record is from RNAcentral.
UACGUAGGUGGCAAGCGUUGUCCGGAAUUAUUGGGCGUAAAGAGCGUGUAGGCGGCUAUACAGGUCCGCUGUGAAAAUCCGGGGCUCAACCCCGGACUGCAGUGGGUACGGGCAGACUAGAGUGUGGUAGGGGAGACUGGAAUUCCUGGUGUAGCGGUGAAAUGCGCAGAUAUCAGGAGGAACACCGAUGGCGAAGGCAGGUCUCUGGGCCGAUAUUGACGCUGGAGGAGCGAAAGCCGUGGGGAGCAAACAGG